GAUGAACGCUGGCGGCGUGCCUAAUACAUGCAAGUCGAGCGAAUGGAUUAAGAGCUUGCUCUUAUGAAGUUAGCGGCGGACGGGUGAGUAACACGUGAGUAACCUGCCCAUAAGACUGGGAUAACUCCGGGAAACCGGGGCUAAUACCGGAUAACAUUUUGAACCGCAUGGUUCGAAAUUGAAAGGGGGCUUCAGCUGUCACUUAUGGAUGGACCCGCGUCGCAUUAGCUAGUUGGUGAGGUAACGGCUCACCAAGGCAACGAUGCGUAGCCGACCUGAGAGGGUGAUCGGCCACACUGGGACUGAGACACGGCCCAGACUCCUACGGGAGGCAGCAGUAGGGAAUCUUCCGCAAUGGACGAAAGUCUGACGGAGCAACGCCGCGUGAGUGAUGAAGGCUUUCGGGUCGUAAAACUCUGUUGUUAGGGAAGAACAAGUGCUAGUUGAAUAAGCUGGCACCUUGACGGUACCUAACCAGAAAGCCACGGCUAACUACGUGCCAGCCGCCGCGGUAA
RNAcentral lists this ribosomal RNA (515 nucleotides) under uncultured bacterium. RNAcentral describes it as "partial 16S ribosomal RNA". It matches the Rfam family "Bacterial small subunit ribosomal RNA", at positions 28 to 523 of the family's 1533-position model. The record is from RNAcentral.